Non-coding RNA from Candidatus Buchananbacteria bacterium, 82 nucleotides. The record is from Rfam. NCBI's taxonomy places the organism in Bacteria, Candidatus Buchananiibacteriota.
GCCGGAGUGGUGAAAUUGGUAUACACGUACGGUUCAGAGCCGUAUGGGGCAACCCAUGAGGGUUCGAGUCCCUCCUCCGGCA